This 437-nucleotide ribosomal RNA is filed under the name uncultured Oscillospiraceae bacterium. Its description in RNAcentral is "partial 16S ribosomal RNA". It matches the Rfam family "Bacterial small subunit ribosomal RNA", at positions 341 to 792 of the family's 1533-position model. Lineage: Bacteria; Bacillati; Bacillota; Clostridia; Eubacteriales; Oscillospiraceae. The record is from RNAcentral.
ACGGAAGGCAGCAGUGGGGAAUAUUGGGCAAUGGGCGAAAGCCUGACCCAGCGACGCCGCGUGAGGGAAGAAGGUCUUCGGAUUGUAAACCUCUUUUAGCAGGGAAGAAGCAAGUGACGGUACCUGCAGAAGAAGUCACGGCUAACUACGUGCCAGCAGCCGCGGUAAUACGUAGGUGGCGAGCGUUAUCCGGAAUUACUGGGUGUAAAGGGUGUGUAGGCUGAGGAGCAAGUCAGGCGUGAAAUUUCUGGGCUCAACUCAGAAACUGCGCUUGAAACUGUUUCCCUUGAGAGUGGGAGAGGUAAACGGAAUUCCUGGUGUAGUAGUGAAAUGCGUAGAUAUCAGGAGGAACACCGGUGGCGAAGGCGGUUUACUGGACCACAACUGACGCUGAGACACGAAAGCGUGGGGAGCAAACAGGAUUAGAUACCCUGGUA